Cercocebus atys (sooty mangabey) is the source of this 107-nucleotide ribosomal RNA. The record is from Ensembl. Lineage: Eukaryota; Metazoa; Chordata; Mammalia; Primates; Cercopithecidae.
CCUCAGUGCCAUAGCAGCCUAAGGGCGCCCCAGCCCUGAAGCUAAGCAGGGUCGUAUCUGGCUGUGGCUUGGAUGGGGGACCAUCUGAGGAGACCAGGGAUGGAGGC